This 502-nucleotide ribosomal RNA is filed under the name uncultured Glomus. Its description in RNAcentral is "SSU rRNA". It matches the Rfam family "Eukaryotic small subunit ribosomal RNA", at positions 569 to 1078 of the family's 1831-position model. Lineage: Eukaryota; Fungi; Glomeromycota; Glomeromycetes; Glomerales; Glomeraceae. The record is from RNAcentral.
AGCAGCCGCGGUAAUUCCAGCUCCAAUAGCGUAUAUUAAAGUUGUUGCAGUUAAAAAGCUCGUAGUUGAAUUUCGGGAUCAAUUGAUUGGUCAUGCCUACGGUAUGUACUAGUCAUAUUGGUUCUCACCUUCUAAUGAACCUUAAUGUCAUUCACUUGAUGUUUUGGGGAAUUAGGACUGUUACCUUGAAAAAUUAGAGUGUUUAAAGCAGGCUUACGCUUGAAUACAUUAGCAUGGAAUAAUGAAAUAGGACAUCGCAUUCUAUUUUGUUGGUUUCUAGGAUCGAUGUAAUGAUUAAUAGGGAUAGUUGGGGGCAUUAGUAUUCAAUUGUCAGAGGUGAAAUUCUUGGAUUUAUUGAAGACUAGCUACUGCGAAAGCAUCUGCCAAGGAUGUUUUCAUUAAUCAAGAACGAAAGUUAGGGGAUCGAAGACGAUCAGAUACCGUCGUAGUCCUAACCAUAAACUAUGCCGACUAGGGAUCGGAUGAUGUUAUUUUUAAUGUA